Long non-coding RNA from Cyprinus carpio carpio, 1471 nucleotides. NCBI's taxonomy places the organism in Eukaryota, Metazoa, Chordata, Actinopteri, Cypriniformes, Cyprinidae. The record is from Ensembl.
UUCAUUAACGUCUCAGGGAGAGGAGGGGGAAUAAUAUGAUUGGUUAGAAUUAACGUCACUCACGCGCGCUGCUGAGACGGAGCGAAAUGCCUCAGAAAGACUCUGCGGGCUGCGGGAUGAGGAGGGUCGAUGUACGGUUCCGUUUCUCCUCAUUAACAAAUAAGAUAAUAUAAUGUAUUUGUUUACAACAUUAUGGUGUCAAAUAAACCAAACACAAACUGAAAAUGUUUUGUCCCUUGUGACCGACAGUUUUUUGGAGUAAUAGCCUAAAUAACGCAGUGACAAAAAUCUUUCAAAGCAAAUGAAGUGUGCCAGUCAGAUGCACAUGAGAAGUGUAUAGGCUACUUAAAGCUACGCUUCUGUCAAGUUAUACAUUUAUCAAGUUGGUUGGAAUAUUAGCGUACACUCGUGUAGAAUCGGAAACGUAUCAACAACGUUUAUUAGACUGACCGUCUGAAGAGAGAUGGAGACCAUCAGGAAAGAGGAGCGUGUUUAGUUGAGUUGCGGUAAACAGCACCAUCUAGAGGUGAAUACGAGACAUGCGCUUAUCUCUCAUCUCAUACCAGAGCUGAAGUGGGACAACACUCUUGUCGAGGAUUCAGUGUUCCAUCCAGUUCCUUGAUGACAUCAUCCUACAAGAAGUGACAUCAUUUUGGAGGGAAACGAACAACACAAACACCAAUAAGCCCCAAGGUCAACUGAGAAAGCCACAUAUCGAAAGAUAUUGACAUAUUUGAGCAGUUUCUUUGUGAACAGUUUACGGCUAAUAUUGGCGCCACGUCUGCCAUUCCGAGAGAGUGUGGAUAUGGAGGUAUUCAAGGAAACGUGUCUCGCACAUGCAUAAAUAAACAUUCACACAUGCACACAUGUGCGCUGAUGACUGUAGCUGUGGCUGUUUGGCUCUGGCCAGAUGAUGUUUCAGUCCAGCUCUCUGCACUGCUCUCUUCCACCACAUACUGGCUGCCAGCCUGGCCUAUCUACCUCUCACUGUGUGUGUGUGUCUGUAGGAGUGUGUGAAAAGGAGAGAUAGGGCGAGAGAGAGCCGAUCUCUGGGGUUCCGGACACUCCUGCUAUCUUUAGGCACAAUCUGGGCCGGUGCAGGAUUGGACAGAGCAGGCCAGAGAGUGAUAAAUGUUCACCAGCGGCCCAUGUGGCACUGCCAAGAGAUGAGUUUACAUCACAGUCUCAUUACAACUCAGAUACAAGGUUACUAGGACAACAAAACACCAUCCAAAACACAAUGAUGGCAUCUAAAUUUCACUGAACUGAGCGUGAUGGAAUCUAAUGGAAGUCAGACAUGGCGAGAGCCUUAACCCCAACUGACGUUGUGUAGGACAUGUCUCCUCCAAUAUUCAGAUCGGUGCUCAGCUGAUAAGGUUUUUUCAGCGAAUCAUUUUGAAAUUAUUACAUUUGAUUCCUCCAGUCAUGACAAAUGUGAUUACAUCCUUGAAAACAGCUAUUACAGGAAGGC